GCCAAAAAUCUAGCCCUAUUUUAACAAAUGACCCGUAAAUUAAACCUAUAAACAAAAUCAUUUACUAUAUUUAGUAAAGGCGAUUGAAAAGUCAAUUAGAGCUAUAAUAGUAGUACCGCAAGGAAAAGAUGAAAUAAAUAUGAAACAGACCUUAAGCACAAAAAAGCAGAGGCAUAUUCUCGUACCUUUUGCAUCAUGGUCUAACUAGUCUAAUCAAGCAUAAAGAACUUUAGUUUGACCUCCCGAAACUAGGCGAGCUACUUCGAGGCAGCUUAAUGAGCCCACCCGUCUCUGUUGCAAAAGAGUGGGGAGACCCCCAAGUAGCGGUGAUAGACCUAACGAGCCUAGUGAUAGCUGGUUACUUAAGAAAAGGAUUUAAGUCCUCCCUAAAGCAUUAUUAAUAAUUAUAAACAUCAUCUAUGCUUUAAAGCCACUCAAAUGAGGUACAGCCCAUUUGAAAUAAGGAUACAACCUACACCAAUGGGUAAUUUAUUUUGUAGAUUUAAAUAAGUGGGCCUAAAAGCAGCCACCUUUAAAAUAGCGUCAAAGCUUUCCUAAUUAAUACACUAAUUUCACAACAUAUCAAAAACCCUUUAUUUAUAUUAAGUUAUUCUAUAGUCUUAUAGAAGAAUUUAUGUUAGAACUAGUAAUAAGAAGAUCGUCCUUCUCUUUGAUGUAAGUGUAAAUCAGAAAGGACCAACCACUGAUAAUUAAUCAUUAAUGAGCACUAAACAGCAACCUUACCAGAAAACCCUGUUUUUACUAAUGUUAAUUUAACACUAGCACAUCACAAGAAAGAUUUAAAAAAAAAGAAGGAACUCGGCAAAUAUUAACCUCGCCUGUUUACCAAAAACAUCGCCUCUCGCCACAUAUGAGAGGUCCAGCCUGCCCAGUGACUAAAUUCAACGGCCGCGGUAUCCUAACCG
This 926-nucleotide ribosomal RNA is filed under the name Dendropsophus elianeae. RNAcentral's name for it is "partial 16S ribosomal RNA". The stretch from base 164 to 926 matches the Rfam family "Bacterial large subunit ribosomal RNA", at positions 568 to 1948 of the family's 2925-position model. The record is from RNAcentral. Lineage: Eukaryota; Metazoa; Chordata; Amphibia; Anura; Hylidae.